This 105-nucleotide microRNA precursor is filed under the name Microtus ochrogaster (prairie vole). Its description in RNAcentral is "miRNA (ENSMOCG00000009650.1)". Lineage: Eukaryota; Metazoa; Chordata; Mammalia; Rodentia; Cricetidae. The record is from RNAcentral.
CUUUUCUGGUUUUUUUGAGAGAGUGUUUUUCUAUGUAGCCCUGGUUAACCUAGAACUUGCUAUGUAGACUGGACUGCCCUUAAACUUCUAGAUCCUUCCUGCCUC